Molecule: ribosomal RNA, 426 nt
Filed under: uncultured bacterium
Lineage: Bacteria
Description: bacterial SSU rRNA
Rfam family: Bacterial small subunit ribosomal RNA
Source: RNAcentral
GUGAGGAAUAUUGGGCAAUGGGCGGAAGCCUGACCCAGCAACGCCGCGUGAAGGAUGAAGGCCUUCGGGUCGUAAACUUCUUUUAUGGGGGAAGAGUGAGGACGGUACCCUAGGAAUAAGUCACGGCUAACUACGUGCCAGCAGCCGCGGUAAUACGUAGGUGACGAGCGUUAUCCGGAAUUACUGGGCGUAAAGCGCACGCAGGCGGCUAGGUAAGUCUGACGUAAAAUCUCCUGGCUUAACUGGGAGGGGUCGUUGGAGACUGCCUGACUUGAGGCAACGAGAGGGGUGUAGAAUUCCCGGUGUAGUGGUGGAAUGCGUAGAUAUCGGGAGGAAUACCAGAGGCGAAAGCGGCGCCCUGGCGUUAGCCUGACGCUCAUGUGCGAAGGCGUGGGGAGCGAACGGGAUUAGAAACCCCAGUAGUCC